UCCUCAAUGCCUCUAGGCACUUAGGUCCACCUCUGAUUCCCCCACAGCAUCCAACACACUUAAAAUUUGUCCACUGUUCUAACCUCUCCAUUUCCCCCCAGCUGGGCUGUGAAUUUCUUGAGGGCCGGAACUAAGCCCUGGUCAUCUUUGUAUCCCCAGCAUCUACAACAGCAUCCAGCUCAAUACAUGCUGUAUUUGCUGCCUGAGAGUGAGCCAGCUGCCCAAGCCAGGUCUCCAGGUUUGCAGUUGAAUUCCCAGGAUGCCGGAAAACAGAACUGCAGAGCCCCACGGUCUAUUGUGAAAGUGUCUCAUCCACCCAUCUCUUCAUGGCAAGCCCAUUUAUUUUGACUCUGCCACACAGGGAUCACUAUCUUCCCACUGGCCUUGAGGGUCUUCACUCCUCCAGGGGUAAUCAGACUGUCUCCAAUUUGCUUUAUUAAGCCAUCUUCCAUGUAAAUGUCAGCAUAAAAGGAUUGAUCAUCGUUGAUGAUUCUGCCUCCCUUGAUGAGAAGACGGUCACUCCCCAGUGAAGAGAAAGGUCCUUGCAAAACUGUCUGUGCUCUAUCAAAAUGACUUGUGAUUUCUUAAGCUCUAUGGUUUCAGUUUUAAUGUCAACAUCACUGCCCAGAACAUGGGAGUCUAGAAUUGACCCAUUUAACAGGAAAUGGGCUAAUGGAAGGAUUAUUCUGUAGAGCAUCAAUACUACAACCAACCGUAACAAUGGUGAAUGGUUUUACCAUCUCAAAAGACUUUCCAGAGACUACCCUGGUGGCGCAGUGGUUAAGAACCCACCUGCCGAUGCAGGGGACACGGCUUCGAGCCCUGGUCCAGGAAGAUCCCACUUGCCGCUGAGCA
Aethalodelphis obliquidens (Pacific white-sided dolphin) is the source of this 855-nucleotide long non-coding RNA. RefSeq lists it as uncharacterized. The transcript is spliced from 3 exons. NCBI's taxonomy places the organism in Eukaryota, Metazoa, Chordata, Mammalia, Artiodactyla, Delphinidae. The record is from RefSeq and is a predicted model, not a curated record.